Molecule: ribosomal RNA, 434 nt
Filed under: uncultured bacterium
Lineage: Bacteria
Description: partial 16S ribosomal RNA
Rfam family: Bacterial small subunit ribosomal RNA
Source: RNAcentral
AGCGAACGCUGGCGGCAGGCCUAACACAUGCAAGUCGAACGAACCUUUCGGGGUUAGUGGCGGACGGGUGAGUAACACGUGGGAACGUGCCUUUAGGUUCGGAUUAACUCAGGGAAACUUGUGCUAAUACCGAAUGUGCCCUUCGGGUGAAAGAUUAAUCGCCUUUAGAGCGGCCCGCGUCUGAUUAGCUAGUUGGUUGAGGUAAUGGCUCACCAAGGCGACGAUCAGUAGCUGGUCUGAGAGGAUGAUCAGCCACAUUGGGACUGAGACACGGCCCAAACUCCUACGGGAGGCAGCAGUGGGGAAUCUUGCGCAAUGGGCGAAAGCCUGACGCAGCCAUGCCGCGUGAAUGAUGAAGGUCUUAGGAUUGUAAAAUUCUUUCACCGGGGACGAUAAUGACGGUACCCGGAGAAGAAGCCCCGGCUAACUUCGUG